Molecule: ribosomal RNA, 2893 nt
Filed under: Escherichia coli O178:H19
Lineage: Bacteria; Pseudomonadati; Pseudomonadota; Gammaproteobacteria; Enterobacterales; Enterobacteriaceae
Description: bacterial LSU rRNA
Rfam family: Bacterial large subunit ribosomal RNA
Source: RNAcentral
ACUAAGCGUACACGGUGGAUGCCCUGGCAGUCAGAGGCGAUGAAGGACGUGCUAAUCUGCGAUAAGCGUCGGUAAGGUGAUAUGAACCGUUAUAACCGGCGAUUUCCGAAUGGGGAAACCCAGUGUGAUUCGUCACACUAUCAUUAACUGAAUCCAUAGGUUAAUGAGGCGAACCGGGGGAACUGAAACAUCUAAGUACCCCGAGGAAAAGAAAUCAACCGAGAUUCCCCCAGUAGCGGCGAGCGAACGGGGAGCAGCCCAGAGCCUGAAUCAGUGUGUGUGUUAGUGGAAGCGUCUGGAAAGGCGUGCGAUACAGGGUGACAGCCCCGUACACAAAAAUGCACAUAUUGUGAGCUCGAUGAGUAGGGCGGGACACGUGGUAUCCUGUCUGAAUAUGGGGGGACCAUCCUCCAAGGCUAAAUACUCCUGACUGACCGAUAGUGAACCAGUACCGUGAGGGAAAGGCGAAAAGAACCCCGGCGAGGGGAGUGAAAAAGAACCUGAAACCGUGUACGUACAAGCAGUGGGAGCACGCUUAGGCGUGUGACUGCGUACCUUUUGUAUAAUGGGUCAGCGACUUAUAUUCUGUAGCAAGGUUAACCGAAUAGGGGAGCCGAAGGGAAACCGAGUCUUAACUGGGCGUUAAGUUGCAGGGUAUAGACCCGAAACCCGGUGAUCUAGCCAUGGGCAGGUUGAAGGUUGGGUAACACUAACUGGAGGACCGAACCGACUAAUGUUGAAAAAUUAGCGGAUGACUUGUGGCUGGGGGUGAAAGGCCAAUCAAACCGGGAGAUAGCUGGUUCUCCCCGAAAGCUAUUUAGGUAGCGCCUCGUGAAUUCAUCUCCGGGGGUAGAGCACUGUUUCGGCAAGGGGGUCAUCCCGACUUACCAACCCGAUGCAAACUACGAAUACCGGAGAAUGUUAUCACGGGAGACACACGGCGGGUGCUAACGUCCGUCGUGAAGAGGGAAACAACCCAGACCGCCAGCUAAGGUCCCAAAGUCAUGGUUAAGUGGGAAACGAUGUGGGAAGGCCCAGACAGCCAGGAUGUUGGCUUAGAAGCAGCCAUCAUUUAAAGAAAGCGUAAUAGCUCACUGGUCGAGUCGGCCUGCGCGGAAGAUGUAACGGGGCUAAACCAUGCACCGAAGCUGCGGCAGCGACGCUGAUGCGUUGUUGGGUAGGGGAGCGUUCUGUAAGCCUGCGAAGGUGUGCUGUGAGGCAUGCUGGAGGUAUCAGAAGUGCGAAUGCUGACAUAAGUAACGAUAAAGCGGGUGAAAAGCCCGCUCGCCGGAAGACCAAGGGUUCCUGUCCAACGUUAAUCGGGGCAGGGUGAGUCGACCCCUAAGGCGAGGCCGAAAGGCGUAGUCGAUGGGAAACAGGUUAAUAUUCCUGUACUUGGUGUUACUGCGAAGGGGGGACGGAGAAGGCUAUGUUGGCCGGGCGACGGUUGUCCCGGUUUAAGCGUGUAGGCUGGUUUUCCAGGCAAAUCCGGAAAAUCAAGGCUGAGGCGUGAUGACGAGGCACUACGGUGCUGAAGCAACAAAUGCCCUGCUUCCAGGAAAAGCCUCUAAGCAUCAGGUAACAUCAAAUCGUACCCCAAACCGACACAGGUGGUCAGGUAGAGAAUACCAAGGCGCUUGAGAGAACUCGGGUGAAGGAACUAGGCAAAAUGGUGCCGUAACUUCGGGAGAAGGCACGCUGAUAUGUAGGUGAAGUCCCUCGCGGAUGGAGCUGAAAUCAGUCGAAGAUACCAGCUGGCUGCAACUGUUUAUUAAAAACACAGCACUGUGCAAACACGAAAGUGGACGUAUACGGUGUGACGCCUGCCCGGUGCCGGAAGGUUAAUUGAUGGGGUUAGCGCAAGCGAAGCUCUUGAUCGAAGCCCCGGUAAACGGCGGCCGUAACUAUAACGGUCCUAAGGUAGCGAAAUUCCUUGUCGGGUAAGUUCCGACCUGCACGAAUGGCGUAAUGAUGGCCAGGCUGUCUCCACCCGAGACUCAGUGAAAUUGAACUCGCUGUGAAGAUGCAGUGUACCCGCGGCAAGACGGAAAGACCCCGUGAACCUUUACUAUAGCUUGACACUGAACAUUGAGCCUUGAUGUGUAGGAUAGGUGGGAGGCUUUGAAGUGUGGACGCCAGUCUGCAUGGAGCCGACCUUGAAAUACCACCCUUUAAUGUUUGAUGUUCUAACGUGGACCCGUAAUCCGGGUUGCGGACAGUGUCUGGUGGGUAGUUUGACUGGGGCGGUCUCCUCCUAAAGAGUAACGGAGGAGCACGAAGGUUGGCUAAUCCUGGUCGGACAUCAGGAGGUUAGUGCAAUGGCAUAAGCCAGCUUGACUGCGAGCGUGACGGCGCGAGCAGGUGCGAAAGCAGGUCAUAGUGAUCCGGUGGUUCUGAAUGGAAGGGCCAUCGCUCAACGGAUAAAAGGUACUCCGGGGAUAACAGGCUGAUACCGCCCAAGAGUUCAUAUCGACGGCGGUGUUUGGCACCUCGAUGUCGGCUCAUCACAUCCUGGGGCUGAAGUAGGUCCCAAGGGUAUGGCUGUUCGCCAUUUAAAGUGGUACGCGAGCUGGGUUUAGAACGUCGUGAGACAGUUCGGUCCCUAUCUGCCGUGGGCGCUGGAGAACUGAGGGGGGCUGCUCCUAGUACGAGAGGACCGGAGUGGACGCAUCACUGGUGUUCGGGUUGUCAUGCCAAUGGCACUGCCCGGUAGCUAAAUGCGGAAGAGAUAAGUGCUGAAAGCAUCUAAGCACGAAACUUGCCCCGAGAUGAGUUCUCCCUGACUCCUUGAGAGUCCUGAAGGAACGUUGAAGACGACGACGUUGAUAGGCCGGGUGUGUAAGCGCAGCGAUGCGUUGAGCUAACCGGUACUAAUGAACCGUGAGGCUUAACC